CGUGUAGGCGGUACGGUAAGUCAGAUGUGAAAGCCCUCGGCUCAACCGAGGAAGUGCAUUUGAAACUGCCGAACUAGAGUACGGGAGAGGGUUGUAGAAUUCCCGGUGUAGAGGUGAAAUUCGUAGAUAUCGGGAGGAAUACCGGUGGCGAAGGCGGCAACCUGGACCGAUACUGACGCUGAGACGCGAAAGCGUGGGGAGCAAACAGGAUUAGAUACCCUGGUAGUCC
RNAcentral lists this ribosomal RNA (229 nucleotides) under uncultured bacterium. RNAcentral's name for it is "partial 16S ribosomal RNA". It matches the Rfam family "Bacterial small subunit ribosomal RNA", at positions 568 to 796 of the family's 1533-position model. The record is from RNAcentral.